RNAcentral lists this ribosomal RNA (500 nucleotides) under uncultured bacterium. RNAcentral's name for it is "partial 16S ribosomal RNA". It matches the Rfam family "Bacterial small subunit ribosomal RNA", at positions 29 to 523 of the family's 1533-position model. The record is from RNAcentral.
AUUGAACGCUGGCGGCAUGCCUUACACAUGCAAGUCGAACGGCAGCACGGGAGCAAUCCUGGUGGCGAGUGGCGAACGGGUGAGUAAAGUAUCGGAACGUGCCCAGUCGUGGGGGAUAACGUAGCGAAAGUUACGCUAAUACCGCAUACGAUCUAUGGAGGAAAGCGGGGGAUGGCAAGACCUCGCGCAAUGGGAGCGGCCGAUAACAGAUGAGGUGGUUGGUGGGGUAAAGGCUAACCAAGCAGACGAUCUGUAGCUGGUCUGAGAGGACGACCAGCCACACUGGGACUGAGACACGGCCAAGACUCCUACGGGAGGCAGCAGUGGGGAAUUUUGGACAAUGGGCGAAAGCCUGAUCCAGCCAUGCCGCGUGCAGGAUGAAGGCCUUCGGGUUGUAAACUGCUUUUGUACGGAACGAAGAGGUUUGGCCUAAUAAGCUGAGCUCAUGACGGUACCGUAAGAAUAAGCACCGGCUAACUACGUGCCAGCCGCCGCCGUAA